ACGUUAGCGGCGGACGGGUGAGUAACACGUGGGUAACCUACCUAUAAGACUGGGAUAACUUCGGGAAACCGGAGCUAAUACCGGAUAAUAUUUCAACCGCAUGGUUCGAUAGUGAAAGAUGGUUUUGCUAUCACUUAUAGAUGGACCCGCGCCGUAUUAGCUAGUUGGUAAGGUAACGGCUUACCAAGGCGACGAUACGUAGCCGACCUGAGAGGGUGAUCGGCCACACUGGAACUGAGACACGGUCCAGACUCCUACGGGAGGCAGCAGUA
Molecule: ribosomal RNA, 272 nt
Filed under: uncultured Staphylococcus sp.
Lineage: Bacteria; Bacillati; Bacillota; Bacilli; Caryophanales; Staphylococcaceae
Description: partial 16S ribosomal RNA
Rfam family: Bacterial small subunit ribosomal RNA
Source: RNAcentral